GAUGAAGAACGUAGUGAAAUGCGAUAAGUAAUGUGAAUUGCAGAAUUCAGUGAAUCAUCGAAUCUUUGAACGCACAUUGCGCCCGCCAGUAUUCUGGCGGGCAUGCCUGUUCGAGCGUCAUUCCAACCAUCAAGCCCCCGGCUUGUGUUGGGGACCUGCGGCUGCCGCAGGCCCUGAAAAGCAGUGGCGGGCUCGCUGUCACACCGAGCGUAGUAGCAUACAUCUCGCUCUGGGCGUGCUGCGGGUUCCGGCCGUUAAACCACCUUCAUAACCCAAGGUUGACCUCGGAUCAGGUAGGAAGACCCGCUGAACUUAAGCAUAUCAAUAAGCGGAGGA
Molecule: unclassified non-coding RNA, 336 nt
Filed under: soil metagenome
Description: partial contains 5.8S ribosomal RNA, internal transcribed spacer 2, and large subunit ribosomal RNA
Rfam family: 5.8S ribosomal RNA (bases 1-120)
Source: RNAcentral